This 74-nucleotide transfer RNA is filed under the name Pseudomonadota bacterium. RNAcentral's name for it is "tRNA-Gln". It matches the Rfam family "tRNA". From Rfam's summary of the family: Transfer RNA (tRNA) molecules are approximately 80 nucleotides in length. RNAcentral also lists the same sequence under 3 other names. Lineage: Bacteria; Pseudomonadati; Pseudomonadota. The record is from RNAcentral.
UGGGGGGUCGGCUAACGGAAAGCCGGGGGCCUUUGGAGCCUCAGAUCCAGGUUCGAGUCCUGGCCCCCCAGCCA